UAGGGAAUCUUCCACAAUGGACGCAAGUCUGAUGGAGCAACGCCGCGUGAGUGAAGAAGGUUUUCGGACCGUAAAGCUCUGUUGUUGGUGAAGAAGGAUAGAGGUAGUAACUGGCCUUUAUUUGACGGUAAUCAACCAGAAAGUCACGGCUAACUACGUGCAGCAGCCGCGGUAAUACGUAGGUGGCAAGCGUUGUCCGGAUUUAUUGGGCGUAAAGCGAGCGCAGGCGGAAGAAUAAGUCUGAUGUGAAAGCCCUCGGCUUAACCGAGGAAUUGCAUCGGAAACUGUUUUCUUGAGUGCAGAAGAGGAGAGUAGAACUCCAUGUGUAGCGGUGGAAUGCGUAGAUAUAUGGAAGAAUACCAGUGGCGAAGGCGGCUCUCUGGUCUGCAACUGACGCUGAGGCUCGAAAGCAUGGGUAGCGAACAGGAUUAGAUACCCUGGUAGUCCAUGCCGUAAACGAUGAGUGCUAAGUGUUGGGAGGCUUCCGCCUCUCAGUGCUGCAGCUAACGCAUUAAGCACUCCGCCUGGGGGAGUACGACCGCAAGGUUGAAAC
RNAcentral lists this ribosomal RNA (553 nucleotides) under uncultured bacterium. Its description in RNAcentral is "partial 16S ribosomal RNA". It matches the Rfam family "Bacterial small subunit ribosomal RNA", at positions 355 to 900 of the family's 1533-position model. The record is from RNAcentral.